This 600-nucleotide ribosomal RNA is filed under the name Saccharomyces sp. RNAcentral describes it as "partial large subunit ribosomal RNA". It matches the Rfam family "Eukaryotic large subunit ribosomal RNA", at positions 44 to 658 of the family's 3401-position model. Lineage: Eukaryota; Fungi; Ascomycota; Saccharomycetes; Saccharomycetales; Saccharomycetaceae. The record is from RNAcentral.
CAAUAAGCGGAGGAAAAGAAACCAACCGGGAUUGCCUUAGUAACGGCGAGUGAAGCGGCAAAAGCUCAAAUUUGAAAUCUGGUACCUUUGGUGCCCGAGUUGUAAUUUGGAGAGGGCAACUUUGGGACCGUUCCUUGUCUAUGUUCCUUGGAACAGGACGUCAUAGAGGGUGAGAAUCCCGUGUGGCGAGGAGUGCGGUUCUAUGUAAAGUGCCUUCGAAGAGUCGAGUUGUUUGGGAAUGCAGCUCUAAGUGGGUGGUAAAUUCCAUCUAAAGCUAAAUAUUGGCGAGAGACCGAUAGCGAACAAGUACAGUGAUGGAAAGAUGAAAAGAACUUUGAAAAGAGAGUGAAAAAGUACGUGAAAUUGUUGAAAGGGAAGGGCAUUUGAUCAGACAUGGUGUUUUGCGCCCUCUGCUCCUUGUGGGUGGGGGAAUCUCGCAGUUCACUGGGCCAGCAUCAGUUUUGGUGGCAGGAUAAAUCCGUAGGAAUGUAACUUGCUUCGGGAAGUAUUAUAGCCUAUGGGAAUACUGCCAGCUGGGACUGAGGACUGCGACGUAAGUCAAGGAUGCUGGCAUAAUGGUUAUAUGCCGCCCGUCUGAAA